Molecule: ribosomal RNA, 459 nt
Filed under: uncultured bacterium
Lineage: Bacteria
Description: partial 16S ribosomal RNA
Rfam family: Bacterial small subunit ribosomal RNA
Source: RNAcentral
CCUACGGGAGGCAGCAGUGAGGAAUAUUGGUCAAUGGGCGCGAGCCUGAACCAGCCAAGUCGCGUGAGGGAAGACGGUCCUAUGGAUUGUAAACCUCUUUUGUCGGGGAGCAAAAGACGCCACGCGUGGCGUUCCGAGAGUACCCGAAGAAAAAGCCUCGGCUAACUCCGUGCCAGCAGCCGCGGUAAUACGGAGGAUGCGAGCGUUAUCCGGAUUUAUUGGGUUUAAAGGGUGCGCAGGCGGAAGAUCAAGUCAGCGGUAAAAUUGAGGGGCUCAACCUCUUCGAGCCGUUGAAACUGGUGUUCUUGAGUGAGUGAGAAGUAUGCGGAAUGCGUGGUGUAGCGGUGAAAUGCAUAGAUAUCACGCAGAACUCCGAUUGCGAAGGCAGCAUACCGGCGCUCAACUGACGCUCAUGCACGAAAGUGUGGGUAUCGAACAGGAUUAGAGACCCGAGUAGUC